RNAcentral lists this ribosomal RNA (254 nucleotides) under uncultured bacterium. RNAcentral's name for it is "partial 16S ribosomal RNA". It matches the Rfam family "Bacterial small subunit ribosomal RNA", at positions 524 to 776 of the family's 1533-position model. The record is from RNAcentral.
UACGUAGGGGGCAAGCGUUGUCCGGAUUUAUUGGGCGUAAAGAGCUCGUAGGCGGUUUGGUAAGUCUGGUGUGAAAUCUCCACGCUCAACGUGGAGGGGCCACCCGAUACUGCCAUGACUGGAGUCCGGUAGAGGAGUGUGGAAUUCCCGGUGUAGCGGUGAAAUGCGCAGAUAUCGGGAGGAACACCCGUAGCGAAGGCGGCACUCUGGGCCGGAACUGACGCUGAGACGCGAAAGCGUGGGGAGCGAACAGG